This 5022-nucleotide ribosomal RNA is filed under the name Triticum aestivum (bread wheat). RNAcentral describes it as "partial small subunit ribosomal RNA". The record is from RNAcentral. Lineage: Eukaryota; Viridiplantae; Streptophyta; Magnoliopsida; Poales; Poaceae.
GCGUGUUGGUGUGAGGAGGAAGUAGGGCACCUAGGAGGAGAGAGAGGAGAGGAGGGAGGAACAGGCGCGCGGGUAGGGGGCCGUGAGAGAGCGAACGGAGGGCCUGGUCGGUGGUGGCGCGGCGACCCCGAGCCGGCGGCGCGCGUCGCUGUCCCCAUCCGAGUUCCGCCGUGUGUGAAGUACUCCACAUCCCCUCCCGUCCCACUCGCGGUCUCGGUCCGUUCCUUCAUCCCGCACUGCCCCAGCCUAGACCGCCACCACCCAUCGUCGAGCUCGAUCUCCAACUCUGCCCCUUCCAGUUUUUUACUCCUUCGAGCUCGACCUCUACGUGUUGAUCGCAGUCGCCGGUAGGCUACCCAAGCUCGUGCUCCGUUGCGAGGGCAGUGCUGCACCACCUCGACGCGUCCUCGCCCUCCUCCAACCGCUGUCCCUUGGCCCGGCCCCUCCUCCGUUCCAUACACAACAGGGCACAAAAAAGAGAAACGUAAAAGGGGGAUGGCACGUAGACGAACAACAGUCUCACUUAAGUACGGUGGUUUAAGAACCUAUAUUACUCAUGGUUCUAUACAUACGACUGUACACUCAAUUAAUAAACCUUUUUUAUAUUAGUAUAUACAUAACGGUUGUUGAAAAUACAAAUUUCGUUGGUUAAAACACUUUUAUCAUCUUUCUUUCUAUGUACACGUUAAAAGAACUACAAUGUCUCCUACCCAUGAGCUACAAAGUUGUAUUCGUGUCUACUUAUCCAUGUUUAAGCUCCUUUCUGGUUACUAUAUCAACAGACAUGUACACACGGUUGUCUGUUAUUAAAGUUAAAGUGUCUACAGUUGAACCACCAACCGAGAGGUGAUGGCGAGAAAGGUUCGGCUAUACUCCGGUUAUUAAUUAUUAUACUAUUAUCAUCAGAUUUCAUACCCGGAUAUUAUCGAAUGGUAGAAAAGUUAAUCAGCAAAAGACCUUUAUAUUUAGAAGACCUCAUUUACUACGGAUAACAAAUAUAAAUAUGUGUUAGUUUUCUCUUUGUUUUAAUCUUGUAAAGGAGGACCGAGUCUUUUUUAAUUUGUACUGUGUUAACGAAAUAAAAGAUUCUUUGACUCUGGUCGUGUUAAUCAAAAUAGUGUCUACAGCGUAAUGUAGUGUCAUGUUAAUACAUUACGUUACAAUACUUCAUUUUAUAUGGGAAAGUGUGAAGAAUCAAGACGAAAUGACAAGAAGUAAGUAACUGUUAAUAAAAAUACGUUUCGUUCUCGAGAGAUUAACCAAAUGAUAAAAUCAAAUUAGGAAGGUAAGAAAAAACACGUAUGUGUGAAAUUAAUUGUAUCCGACCUUCUUUUUUGUCAGACGGGUCUAUCUAAUUUUCUUCCGUAAAUGGUUCUCAACCCCGGAAGUCGGAGCUGUACAUCUAAGACCAAGGUCCAGGGGCACUAUCUCUCACCACGCAGCUCCGCUUUUGGGUUCCAACGCCGUAACUAUGGGUGGUUUGUGGAGUAUUAGAGGUAAAUACGAACUACACCAGUUAUUAUAUUUUCUUGUCUUCGAAUUCGUGUUGGUGACUGAAGAUGGUGGAAGGGUUUUGUUUCGUAGACUUCGAUGUAAUUAGACGUUCGGGUCUAAAGGUAUAUAAAAUAAUACCACUUUUGUUGGUGUAGCUUCUAUUUUUACUUAGUAGUGUAGAGCACCUUUAAUAAUAAUGUCGAUCGAGUAUAUCUCCGGACUUCUUGUUGGAGACAAGUGUACUGGUUGUGGUACAUAACUAGAUAAUCUGUUUUUCCAUUUUUGUUUGUGAAGACUCUGGAAGUAAAUAUCACAUCGAAACGAGUCACCCAUUCUCACGUUUUAGUACAGUACACGAGAUAAUGUGUCUUUUUUUAGUUUGUAGUUUUACGUCCUUGUUCGUACUGACAUAAGUUCUCUCUCUAUUAAGUGGAACCCGAAGAACUAGUGUAACAAGGAGUUUUAAGAAGAAGAUGAGAGGUGUUCAUUGGUUUUUAACUCCGUAACCUUUUACGUAAGGGGAGGACUAGGAACUUUAGUCUUCUUUGUGAGUAUACGUUUUCUACAUCAUGCAGAUCCCACUCUAAAGUUCAAAAACGGAUAGGGACAAUCAUGCAGAUCCCACUCUAAAGUUCUAAAGGUCCCACAAUAUACACCAACUUCCCUGUAGGGACAAUCAAACGUACCAGAAACAAUUCUUCCCCGUUAUGUUACGACCAGUUCAAACAAAUAUAAGACUACCGACAACUUAAAACCAUUUACCUCUAUACUAAAAAAAUACAUCUAUCCAUGAUCGGUAUCUUAUGAAAUGAGUAACUGCUGUCCAUCGAAAUCUCUUGAAGAUUUUAAAGGUUAGAUCCAAAAGACACUAGGUAAGUUCUUCUCGAGUGUCAGACGUGAUCCCAUAUUUUAAUAGAUAACGAAUGUAAACACGGAGCCGUAUACGAACACUACGUAGCACGAUGGUCUCCGGUAGAAAUAGGUUAUAGUAUCGCUACGAUGUUGACGGACAACGAACGAGGUGUGUGGACUAAAGAGUAUAUAUCUAUAAUUAAAGGAAAGUACCUUCCGGAAGUAAUGUAAAGUCCUAGACCACUCUUAAUUAAACCCAUUAUCAGGGUCCCAUCUUACACCUUUGUAGAAACUGACUUACUUUUGUGAAUUACUGUAUUCAAUACAGUAAAAAGUCUUACCAAACAAACGAAACUGUUGAUAAAUGUAACACCAAAUAAAACCAAAGUGGUAUAAACAUACAUGUAUAAAAGCAUCCAACAUAACGUAUACUCGAUAACCACUUUGGACUUACAGAUACCAUACCACCGUCGCUCUACAAAUUGUACUCCACAACGUCGAUCCAUGGAUGAAGUGAACAAUAGAAUCAAGUUUUUUCACGAUCCGCAAUUAACACGCAAAACGGUGGCGGAACGCGAAAAGACUGGUUUCGCGUACGAAUACGCGUUAAUACGCGUCUAAUUCGCGUCAAUACGCGAUACGCAAAACGGUAGCGGAUCUCGGACCGGUGUGAAUUCGCGAGCGAAUCCGCACGGAAAAAAUUGAUACGAACAAUAAGACAGGUAAGACGCCGAUGAAGAAAACUAAAAUUUCCUACAAAUCUUAGUCUUGUUUUCAUUCUCUCUCAAACCAACAUGUACAUUUAACCAGUAAGUUGCACUUAAAGACGGUUUGCUCCGAAUUUGGACUUGUUAUCAACAACAUCUUGGAAACUCGACCAGGUAAAGUCCGAAUUUGGAAUUGUUCUUUCGUGAACAACGAAACACAAAAAAUAAAAGAAUCACCUACACACUUGUAAACUCGACCAGGUAAAGUCCCGCAUAAAUAUAUGUACUUUAAGGAGUUUCACUUUCAACGGCUCCCAAACUAGUAGAAAGACAUAUGAGUAUACCACCGAGAGGAUGAACUAAUGGUUCAUUUAUAAACCUCCCAAUGUUACUAGGUUGGAAAUGUUGUGAUGUGCUCGUACCGAGAUUUAGUAGUCAAUUGAUGUUCUUUGUAAACGAUGUUCACGGCAACUACUGUAUCUAAUGUCCUUGUACCGACUACAGAACAUACGUUGUAAAUUUAAACUUGACACGGCAAUAAUCAGGUUGGCCAAUGGAUUCUCCAACUAGGUUCAAUUGAAAUGCAAGAUACACUGUCCUACAAACUGUCACAACCGUAUUACCUUCACUUUUGAAUAUAUUAUAUAAAACAAACACGGUUCUGUAACACAGUGGAGGUACGAUUUGGAUAGGUUGAUUGAUGCAUAGACGUGGUACUAACGAGCGGCCCCUAUAUCUAUAUACGGAUUGUAGUCCAAUAAUGGUGUGAUGUCCUGAAAGAUCCUAUUCACACAGUAACGUAGAUUUCCAUAUACUAGUCAAAGAGUUGAGUACAUAAAAAAUUAGGAGUUAUAUAGCGACGAACGGACCGAACAGGAUGUAAACACUCCAACAACUCCUUCAAGUCAAUAACGUACGCCGCAUAUUGAACUCAACGGAUGUAUACUAAAACGGUCAAGCUGCCUUUGAAUCUUAUUUCUUCCCUUGAGAGUCAAAAUAACAAAACGAGAAGGGUCUAAAAUCCGACCCAAAUAAUUGUAGAUACGGUGUGUGAUUUAAACCUAGAGUUACAUUCUAAUUUAUCCCUACUUAGUAACGCGGUAUAACUUUUUAACCUUGAUAUCUCUUCUUUCCUUUAAUAAUUUCUUCCCUAUAGCAACUAAUCCAACAACACCAGAAAGAAGCGUUUGUUACUAUAAGAUUGAACAACCAAAUUAAAUCCACACACCCAAUAUCCUCGAUGUUCCUCUCUAUAAAAUCAACGUUAACUCGAAAUAGAGUUUCACUUUGUACCAUCUGUACGUCUCGUACGGACCACAAAAAGAGAUGUCAAGACCCGACGGUACCACAGUUAAAACUUGAACGUUUUACUUGACAUUUUACAAAAUUAUGGAACCGUGUACAUCAAGAGAAAUGGACGAGACCGAUGAAGUAGAGACAAAUAAAUCGUCCAAGACGCUAGAGGACACAAUGACGUAGAACUAGAAGACGAAACGAUAUUGAGACAAGACGACGAACUCCCUGUUGGUUCUAGUUCUUAGGCCUGAGGCCGAGCUAAGGCCGAAGAUACCUAUUCCACUGUGGAUUAUUCCUAGAUAUCUUGUUGUCUCUACGAUUCUUCUCCGCUGGAAAACCCCAAUACCUAUACUUGUUGUUGUCUCGAAUACUCCGGCUUCUCACGAAGUCACCGCAGAAAACCAAGAAGUUCGGGACGUGAAAGAACCACCUCGUCGUUUUAUUAGGCCUCCGAAAUUUCGAUGACGUGAAGUACAUCAAUCCUAGCUAAGAAACAAAGCCAAACUUUAUGGGGUUCAAGGAGGAUAAACUAACUAAGUAGAUUACCUGUAAGACAGUCCGUUUAUUUCUCUUUCGUAUACAUAACAAUGGUUACUUCGGUAGGCAUGUCCAGUUAUAUAAUUAUUAGGGUAUACACCUUAAGUUCUAUAUCUCCUUACAAUAAAAGACGAUU